AGAGGCUGGGGAGUAUGUAGGUGUGCAGUUCUAGGCUCAGACUGGCCCCCACCUCGACAGCUCUGCUCUCCCAUUUCCAGGUUGCACUGCCUGUGGCUUUGAUCCCUAAUCCUGGCUUAGCGCUUGCUGCAGCCAGAGCAGGGACUGGCCUGUGGGGGAGCCUCCCUCUGCCAGGCCUGGUGGCUCUGAAACGGUUAACCCUUUGAAGCCUCCGUGUGUUUUUCAACAGUCUGAUGCCAUUAGGGGUCCUGUGGUCGUCUCAUUUGCUGUGGCAUCUUGCGUUCAAAGUACCCUGUUCUUAAGAGUCCUCUAGAGACAGGAAUCUCCUGAGCGCCAGUCUCAGAGCUCCUACUGCUGCCAUCCUCUGGGCCUCCAGGACAGGAAGGGAAACAGCUCUUACCCAGACAAGAUCCUCCUGGCUCUGGAUCUUUGACCCUUGCUCUGUAUCCUUCCUAGGGUGUCUCUGUGUUGGCCUGCUUGGCUGCCUCUCAGCUCACGUCAAACCACCUCAAGGCCCAUUUUCCUGAUAGGCAGAGUGAGCAGAGCUGAGGGAGUGUAAGCCAUGGGCUAGUUCCCGGGCGGGCGGAAGGGAGAUUAUGACCACUCAGAGUGGGAGCUCCUGCGGGUGUAGGGUCCUGAGUAACCCUCCCUAAAGAUACUAGGAAAGGGAGGUUGUGUCCACCCAGUGGAGUGGAGGCAGUUUUAUCAACCCUGCCCUGGGUUGUCUUUCCAAAGAUAGGACAGGAGACAGUUUGAGAAGAUGUUGGCAGGGCUAGAGCCUCUGUGGACUCACUUUCCAGGUGUCUCUGCUCUUUGUGCUGGGGUGGGGUUUGUUCUACAUCUCCUUGCAGCCUUUACCCUUGGCUUAGCAAUGUCUGAUGUUCUCAGUGUCAAGGGGUCAAACAGAUACCUGAUAGAGAAUUGGGGUGCAUGCAUCUGUCCUUGCAUCUGUCCCUGGGUGGGACCUAAGGGGAAGCAGUGUUUGCAAGUCCUUUCUAGCCUAUAACCUGUCUGGAAGAGAACAUCUUAAUUUCUGAUGAGUAAAUAAAGCUAUCUCCAGUA
Mus musculus (house mouse) is the source of this 1062-nucleotide long non-coding RNA. RefSeq annotates it as predicted gene, 42365. The transcript has 2 exons. Lineage: Eukaryota; Metazoa; Chordata; Mammalia; Rodentia; Muridae. The record is from RefSeq and is a predicted model, not a curated record.